Small nuclear RNA from Syngnathus typhle (broad-nosed pipefish), 183 nucleotides. RefSeq annotates it as U2 spliceosomal RNA. The record is from RefSeq and is a predicted model, not a curated record. The transcript has a single exon. Lineage: Eukaryota; Metazoa; Chordata; Actinopteri; Syngnathiformes; Syngnathidae.
AUCACUUCUCUUUUGGCUGAGAUCAAGUGUAGUGUUCUUAUCAGUAUAAUAUCUGAUAUGUCCCCCGUCUGGGGAACACAUAUUAAACUGAUUUUUGGAAUAGGGAGUUUGAAAAGGGGCUUGUCCUGUUCACUCCACGCAUCGACCUGUUAUUGCAGUACCUCGAGGCGCGGUGCACCCCCU